AUACCUUUCUCGGCCUUUUGGCUAAGAUCAAGUGUAGUAUCUGUUCUUAUCAGUUUAAUAUCUGAUAUGUGGAUCAUAGAUUCACACGAUAUUAAAUUAAUUUUUUUAGGGAGAGAGCCCGUUACGGUAGCUUGCUAUCGGGGUUCUUGAGUGUCGUUCGUGUCUUGCACUACUGCAUGGACUUGGCGCAACCCAU
This is a small nuclear RNA of Cephalotus follicularis, 196 nucleotides long. It matches the Rfam family "U2 spliceosomal RNA". Rfam says of the family: U2 is a small nuclear RNA (snRNA) component of the spliceosome (involved in pre-mRNA splicing). Complementary binding between U2 snRNA (in an area lying towards the 5' end but 3' to hairpin I) and the branchpoint sequence (BPS) of the intron results the bulging out of an unpaired adenosine, on the BPS, which initiates a nucleophilic attack at the intronic 5' splice site, thus starting the first of two transesterification reactions that mediate splicing. The record is from Rfam. NCBI's taxonomy places the organism in Eukaryota, Viridiplantae, Streptophyta, Magnoliopsida, Oxalidales, Cephalotaceae.